GCGUCGAGGCGGCAUCGUGGUAAUCCUGCACGGCCACACAAAGAAGACAGAAGGGUAAGGAAGGGCUUCGCCAUGGCAAAAAGUGAUGACGACCGUGGCUUAUUAGCGCAGGGGCGACGACAGUUCCACAACGGGAGAAGAGAAUGCGAUACACGGCCCGAAAAUUCAAAUAUAAAAAUCACCUGAAUCCAAAAACUUCGAAACCUAUUUUCAAAAUCUAAUUUUAAAACAUUGCAAAACUAUCCCUUAGCUCAAUUCCUUUUCAUCCAAAAUCCAUACCAAGUUUAAUCUCCCUUUAAUUCAUUUAUCUUUCCAAAUCAGUACCGACAACUUCUCUCUAACAUUCCUAUCCUCCCUAAGCCAUCACCAUCAACCUUCUGAUCCCUUCCUUCAAGUGUGCUCUCACGCACAAGCUUGCCACCUAGCCACACACAGCCUGAGCACGCACACAACAUGCACAUUAUGCAUGUACGAGCAGCAUAGAGUCACGGACAGCAGCAGCACGAACACUACAUGCAAGCUCCACACGCCAGGCCCCAUGCCGUGCUCGCUCUGCCCUACUCGAACGGCAGCCUGACCCGCGAGGUAACCUGCACUACUGCCCGGCACCACGCCGUGUUGCCCCUUGCCGCGUCCCCACCUCAACCACGCCGUUGUCUUCAAGCUCGCCAGCCAUGCCGCCUCGUCGCGCACGUCGUCAACGCCGUUGGCGCAUCAGCGCCACCACAGAAGCAAGCCGACGCCGCAGCAGCACCACCGCAAGCCCGUACGUCGCCUUGACGCCUUGCUCCACCCACUCCCUGCUGCCUCAUCAUGCGCUGUCAACGCCGCUGUCACCUCAGCGCCACUGCCGCAGCAAGCCAACGCCGCUGUAGCACCACCGCAGGCACGCACGUCGCCUUGCUCG
This 907-nucleotide long non-coding RNA is filed under the name Setaria italica (foxtail millet). RNAcentral's name for it is "long non-coding RNA (SITA_LNC000584)". The record is from RNAcentral. Lineage: Eukaryota; Viridiplantae; Streptophyta; Magnoliopsida; Poales; Poaceae.